CCACGGUGGAGUAACACGUAUCCAACCUGCCGUCUACUCUUGGACAGCCUUCUGAAAGGAAGAUUAAUACAAGAUGGCAUCAUGAGUCCGCAUGUUCACAUGAUUAAAGGUAUUCCGGUAGACGAUGGGGAUGCGUUCCAUUAGAUAGUAGGCGGGGUAACGGCCCACCUAGUCUUCGAUGGAUAGGGGUUCUGAGAGGAAGGUCCCCCACAUUGGAACUGAGACACGGUCCAA
This 234-nucleotide ribosomal RNA is filed under the name uncultured bacterium. RNAcentral's name for it is "partial 16S ribosomal RNA". It matches the Rfam family "Bacterial small subunit ribosomal RNA", at positions 105 to 334 of the family's 1533-position model. The record is from RNAcentral.